GGGGUUGUAGCUUAGUGGUAAAGCACUUGCCUAGUGUGUAUGAGGCACUGGGUUCUAUCCUCAGCACCACA
RNAcentral lists this transfer RNA (71 nucleotides) under Marmota monax (woodchuck). RNAcentral's name for it is "tRNA.Thr". It matches the Rfam family "tRNA". Rfam says of the family: Transfer RNA (tRNA) molecules are approximately 80 nucleotides in length. The record is from RNAcentral. Lineage: Eukaryota; Metazoa; Chordata; Mammalia; Rodentia; Sciuridae.